CACACGACUCUCGGCAACGGAUAUCUCGGCUCCCGCAUCGAUGAAGAACGUAGCGAAAUGCGAUACCUGGUGUGAAUUGCAGAAUCCCGUGAACCAUCGAGUCUUUGAACGCAAGUUGCGCCCGAGGCCAUUCGGCCGAGGGCACGCCUGCCUGGGCGUCACGC
This 164-nucleotide ribosomal RNA is filed under the name Oryza latifolia. Its description in RNAcentral is "5.8S ribosomal RNA". It matches the Rfam family "5.8S ribosomal RNA". From Rfam's summary of the family: 5.8S ribosomal RNA (5.8S rRNA) is a component of the large subunit of the eukaryotic ribosome. It is transcribed by RNA polymerase I as part of the 45S precursor that also contains 18S and 28S rRNA. The record is from RNAcentral. Lineage: Eukaryota; Viridiplantae; Streptophyta; Magnoliopsida; Poales; Poaceae.